AGUCGAGGGGCAGCGGGGGUGAUGGCUUGCCAUCGCCUGCCGGCGACCGGCGCACGGGUGAGUAACACGUAUGCAACCUGCCCGCCACAGGGGGAUAAGCGGAAGAAAUUCCGUCUAAUACCGCGUGACGCGGCGCCGGGGCAUCCCGGUGCCGCCAAAGGGAUUACCGGUGGCGGAUGGGCAUGCGGCGCAUUAGCUAGUCGGCGGGGUAACGGCCCACCGAGGCGACGAUGCGUAGGGGUUCUGAGAGGAAGGUCCCCCACACUGGUACUGAGACACGGACCAGACUCCUACGGGAGGCAGCAGUGAGGAAUAUUGGUCAAUGGGCGGGAGCCUGAACCAGCCAAGUCGCGUGAGGGAUGACGGUCCUACGGAUUGUAAACCUCUUUUGCCGGGGAGCAAGCGUGCGUUCGUGAACGCACGUCUAGAGUACCCGGAGAAAAAGCAUUCGGCUAACUCCGUGCCAGCAGCCGCGGUAAUACGGAGGAUGCGAGCGUUAUCCGG
This 504-nucleotide ribosomal RNA is filed under the name uncultured bacterium. RNAcentral describes it as "bacterial SSU rRNA". It matches the Rfam family "Bacterial small subunit ribosomal RNA", at positions 60 to 548 of the family's 1533-position model. The record is from RNAcentral.